This 301-nucleotide ribosomal RNA is filed under the name uncultured bacterium. Its description in RNAcentral is "partial 16S ribosomal RNA". It matches the Rfam family "Bacterial small subunit ribosomal RNA", at positions 509 to 808 of the family's 1533-position model. The record is from RNAcentral.
CAGCAGCCACGGGAAUACGAAGGGUGCAAGCGUUACUCGGAAUUACUGGGCGUAAAGCGUGCGUAGGUGGUGGUUUAAGUCCGUUGUGAAAGCCCUGGGCUCAACCUGGGAAUUGCAGUGGAUACUGGGUCACUAGAGUGUGGUAGAGGAUAGUGGAAUUUCCGGUUAGCAGUGAAAUGCGUAGAGAUCGGAAGGAACAUCUGUGGCGAAGGCGACUAUCUGGGCCAACACUGACACUGAGGCACGAAAGCGUGGGGAGCAAACAGGAUUAGAUACCCGCGUAGUCCCUGUCUCUUAUACA